This 274-nucleotide ribosomal RNA is filed under the name uncultured bacterium. RNAcentral's name for it is "partial 16S ribosomal RNA". It matches the Rfam family "Bacterial small subunit ribosomal RNA", at positions 523 to 796 of the family's 1533-position model. The record is from RNAcentral.
AUACGGAGGGUGCAAGCGUUGAUCGGAAUUACUGGGCGUAAAGCGCGCGUAGGCGGUUAUUUAAGUCAGAUGUGAAAUCCCUGGGCUCAACCUAGGAACUGCAUCUGAUACUGGGUAACUAGAGUUUUGGAGAGGUAAGUGGAAUUUCCGGUGUAGCGGUGAAAUGCAUAGAGAUCGGAAGGAACACCAGUGGCGAAGGCGACUUACUGGCCAAAAACUGACGCUGAGGUGCGAAAGCGUGGGUAGCAAACAGGAUUAGAAACCCUAGUAGUCC